GGGCCUGUAGCUCAACGGUUAGUGCAGGGGACUCAUCAUCCCUUGGUUGCGAGUUCGAAUCUCGCCGGGCCCACCA
This 76-nucleotide transfer RNA is filed under the name Planctomycetota bacterium. Its description in RNAcentral is "Planctomycetes bacterium (activated sludge metagenome) tRNA-Ile". It matches the Rfam family "tRNA". Rfam says of the family: Transfer RNA (tRNA) molecules are approximately 80 nucleotides in length. Lineage: Bacteria; Pseudomonadati; Planctomycetota. The record is from RNAcentral.